AACGGGUGAGUAACACGUGAGUAACCUNCCCUUAACUCUGGGAUAAGCCUGGGAAACUGGGUCUAAUACCGGAUAUGACUCCUCAUCGCAUGGUGGGGGGUGGAAAGCUUUAUUGUGGUUUUGGAUGGACUCGCGGCCUAUCAGCUUGUUGGUGAGGUAAUGGCUUACCAAGGCGACGACGGGUAGCCGGCCUGAGAGGGUGACCGGCCACACUGGGACUGAGACACGGCCCAGACUCCUACGGGAGGCAGCAGUGGGGAAUAUUGCACAAUGGGCGCAAGCCUGAUGCAGCGACGCCGCGUGAGGGAUGACGGCCUUCGGGUUGUAAACC
Molecule: ribosomal RNA, 331 nt
Filed under: Arthrobacter sp. R-25598
Lineage: Bacteria; Bacillati; Actinomycetota; Actinomycetes; Micrococcales; Micrococcaceae
Description: bacterial SSU rRNA
Rfam family: Bacterial small subunit ribosomal RNA
Source: RNAcentral